UACAGAGGUCCCGAGCGUUGUUCGGAUUCACUGGGCGUAAAGGGUGCGUAGGUGGUGGGAUAAGUCGGAUGUGAAAUCUCUGGGCUCAACCCAGAGACUGCUUCCGAAACUGCUGUACUUGAGUGUGAGAGAGGCUCGUGGAAUUGCAGGUGUAGCGGUGAAAUGCGUAGAUAUCUGCAGGAACACCCGUGGCGAAAGCGGCUCACUGGCCCGGUACUGACGCUGAGGUGCGAAAGCGUGGGGAGCAAACAGG
RNAcentral lists this ribosomal RNA (253 nucleotides) under uncultured bacterium. Its description in RNAcentral is "partial 16S ribosomal RNA". It matches the Rfam family "Bacterial small subunit ribosomal RNA", at positions 524 to 776 of the family's 1533-position model. The record is from RNAcentral.